UACAGAGGUCUCAAGCGUUGUUCGGAUUCAUUGGGCGUAAAGGGUGCGUAGGUGGCGCCGUAAGUCAGGUGUGAAAUUUCGAGGCUUAACCUCGAAACUGCAUUUGAUACUGCGGUGCUUGAGGACUGGAGAGGAGACUGGAAUUCAUGGUGUAGCAGUGAAAUGCGUAGAUAUCGAGAGGAACACCAGUGGCGAAGGCGAGUCCCUGGACAACGACUGACACUGAGGCACGAAAGCUAGGGGAGCAAACAGG
This 253-nucleotide ribosomal RNA is filed under the name uncultured bacterium. Its description in RNAcentral is "partial 16S ribosomal RNA". It matches the Rfam family "Bacterial small subunit ribosomal RNA", at positions 524 to 776 of the family's 1533-position model. The record is from RNAcentral.